Molecule: ribosomal RNA, 752 nt
Filed under: uncultured bacterium
Lineage: Bacteria
Description: bacterial SSU rRNA
Rfam family: Bacterial small subunit ribosomal RNA
Source: RNAcentral
AGAGUUUGAUCCUGGCUCAGGACAAACGCUGGCGGCGUGCGUAAAACAUGCAAGUCGAACGGCCGCUUCGGCGGCAGUGGCAGACGGCUGAGUAACGCGUAGGAACCUGCCCCGGGGUGGGGGACAACCUCCCGAAAGGGGGGCUAAUACCGCAUACGGUCCCGGCUUGCCGGGAAGAAAGCCCUUGGGUGCCCUGGGAGGGGCCUGCGUCCGAUUAGCUGGUUGGUGGGGUAAUGGCCUACCAAGGCACCGAUCGGUAGCUGGUCUGAGAGGAUGAUCAGCCAGACUGGGACUGGGACACGGCCCAGACUCCUACGGGAGGCAGCAGUUAGGAAUUUUGGGCAAUGGCCGCAAGGCUGACCCAGCAACGCCGCGUGGGGGACGAAGGCUCUCGGGUUGUAAACCCCUUUUCCCAGGGACGAUAGUGACGGUACCUGGGGAAUAAGCCCCGGCUAACUACGUGCCAGCAGCCGCGGUAAUACGUAGGGGGCAAGCGUUGUCCGGAUUCAUUGGGCGUAAAGCGCGGGCAGGCGGCCCGCUCAGUCGGCCGUGAAAGCGCCGGGCUCAACUCGGCGAGGUCGGGCGAUACUGGCGGGCUCGAGGCUGGUAGAGGGCGGUGGAAUUCCGGGUGUAGUGGUGGAAUGCGUAGAGCUCCGGAGGAACACCAGUGGCGAAGGCGGCCGCCUGGGCCAGUCCUGACGCUGAGCCGCGAAAGCGUGGGGAGCGAUCCGGAUUAGAUACCCUAGUAGUCC